RNAcentral lists this ribosomal RNA (764 nucleotides) under Lactiplantibacillus plantarum. RNAcentral's name for it is "bacterial SSU rRNA". It matches the Rfam family "Bacterial small subunit ribosomal RNA", at positions 56 to 785 of the family's 1533-position model. Lineage: Bacteria; Bacillati; Bacillota; Bacilli; Lactobacillales; Lactobacillaceae. The record is from RNAcentral.
UGCAAGUCGAACGAACUCUGGUAUUGAUUGGUGCUUGCAUCAUGAUUUACAUUUGAGUGAGUGGCGAACUGGUGAGUAACACGUGGGAAACCUGCCCAGAAGCGGGGGAUAACACCUGGAAACAGAUGCUAAUACCGCAUAACAACUUGGACCGCAUGGUCCGAGUUUGAAAGAUGGCUUCGGCUAUCACUUUUGGAUGGUCCCGCGGCGUAUUAGCUAGAUGGUGGGGUAACGGCUCACCAUGGCAAUGAUACGUAGCCGACCUGAGAGGGUAAUCGGCCACAUUGGGACUGAGACACGGCCCAAACUCCUACGGGAGGCAGCAGUAGGGAAUCUUCCACAAUGGACGAAAGUCUGAUGGAGCAACGCCGCGUGAGUGAAGAAGGGUUUCGGCUCGUAAAACUCUGUUGUUAAAGAAGAACAUAUCUGAGAGUAACUGUUCAGGUAUUGACGGUAUUUAACCAGAAAGCCACGGCUAACUACGUGCCAGCAGCCGCGGUAAUACGUAGGUGGCAAGCGUUGUCCGGAUUUAUUGGGCGUAAAGCGAGCGCAGGCGGUUUUUUAAGUCUGAUGUGAAAGCCUUCGGCUCAACCGAAGAAGUGCAUCGGAAACUGGGAAACUUGAGUGCAGAAGAGGACAGUGGAACUCCAUGUGUAGCGGUGAAAUGCGUAGAUAUAUGGAAGAACACCAGUGGCGAAGGCGGCUGUCUGGUCUGUAACUGACGCUGAGGCUCGAAAGUAUGGGUAGCAAACAGGAUUAGAUAC